Small nucleolar RNA from Tachyglossus aculeatus (Australian echidna), 138 nucleotides. The record is from RefSeq and is a predicted model, not a curated record. Lineage: Eukaryota; Metazoa; Chordata; Mammalia; Monotremata; Tachyglossidae.
CGCCUCUCGGAGUUGCACCUGGAGAGUUUUUAGUAUUCUACCAGUCUAGACUACGGGAGGGACAGUCAAGCAGAAGCAUAAUCAUUCCAUUCCUAGCUUGGGCAGUGGUUAGCAAGUGGAAGGCAAUCUGCUACAAGU